AUUGAACGCUGGCGGCAUGCCUUACACAUGCAAGUCGAACGGCAGCACGGGAGCAAUCCUGGUGGCGAGUGGCGAACGGGUGAGUAAUACAUCGGAACGUGCCCUGUAGUGGGGGAUAACCGGCGAAAGCCGGACUAAUACCGCAUACGACCUGAGGGUGAAAGCGGGGGAUCGCAAGACCUCGCGCUAUGGGAGCGGCCGAUGUCAGAUUAGCUAGUUGGUGGGGAAAGGCCUACCAAGGCGACGAUCUGUAGCUGGUCUGAGAGGACGACCAGGCCACACUGGGACUGAGACACGGCCCAGACUCCUACGGGAGGCAGCAGUGGGGAA
Molecule: ribosomal RNA, 330 nt
Filed under: uncultured bacterium
Lineage: Bacteria
Description: bacterial SSU rRNA
Rfam family: Bacterial small subunit ribosomal RNA
Source: RNAcentral